GGAAAUUGAAGGUGUUAAAAUCUUCCAGUGCUGUUCUUCCAUCUCUUUUGCAAAUAUGAAGCACUUCAAAAGCUACUUGUUAAAAAAGAUGGACAUGAAAGCAGUGCCUCUUGACGAAAAUGAAAUGAGGGCUUUAAUUUCAGUUAGUCUGUCUGACACCUCAGUGCAAGGAAAAGAUUUUAAAUGUGCCUGUGUCUGCAAUCAACCUGAACCAACACCUAGGAUACCAUAUACAGAGAAACUGGUGAAACGACAUCAAACAGGGAGUGAUUCCUCAGCAUCUUCAUUUAAUUUGGUGCAUUGGUCAAAGUAUGGAGACAGACCCAGCUCCAGGAUACUCUUGGUGGGAGCAACUCAAGCACAGCCUGCAUCCCCGGGGCUUAAAACGGGCCUGG
Molecule: non-coding RNA, 395 nt
Organism: Tinamus guttatus (white-throated tinamou)
Lineage: Eukaryota; Metazoa; Chordata; Aves; Tinamiformes; Tinamidae
Source: RefSeq, a predicted model, not a curated record